RNAcentral lists this long non-coding RNA (250 nucleotides) under Prunus dulcis (almond). RNAcentral's name for it is "sRNA ncRNA". The record is from RNAcentral. Lineage: Eukaryota; Viridiplantae; Streptophyta; Magnoliopsida; Rosales; Rosaceae.
AUGCCAAGAGUGAUCAUCUCUCAUGAGUCAUGACCUGGUCCAAGAGUGCCAUAUCUGCUUGGAAGAGUUGAAGGUCGGUGAUGAAGCCACAAAGGUGCCUUGUAAAUGCAAGCGCAUUUACUUUCACCGGCUUUGCCUCCAGAAAUGGUGCCUUGUACAACCUUCAUGCCCUGUCUGUUACGUCCCCUGUUAUGUGAUGAUCAACUACACCAAGGAAAAAAAUUUCUUCCAGAAAUUGUGGUGUUUUUAG